UGCUAUACAUGCAGUCGAACGCGUCUCCGUUGAUGAUUUUAGGUGCUUGCACUUGAAAGAUUUAACAUUGAGACGAGUGGCGAACUGGUGAGUAACACGUGGGUAACCUGCCCUUGAAGUAGGGGAUAACACUUGGAAACAGGUGCUAAUACCGUAUAACAACCAAAACCACCUGGUUUUGGUUUAAAAGACGGCUUCGGCUGUCACUUUAGGAUGGACCCGCGGCGUAUUAGCUUGUUGGUAAGGUAACGGCCUACCAAGGCGAUGAUACGUAGCCGACCUGAGAGGGUAAUCGGCCACAUUGGGACUGAGACACGGCCCAAACUCCUACGGGAGGCAGCAGUAGGGAAUCUUCCACAAUGGACGAAAGUCUGAUGGAGCAACGCCGCGUGAGUGAUGAAGGGUUUCGGCUCGUAAAACUCUGUUGUUGGAGAAGAACAGGUGUCAGAGUAACUGUUGACAUCUUGACGGUAUCCAACCAGAAAGCCACGGCUAACUACGUGCCAGCAGCCGCGGUAAUACGUAGGUGGCAAGCGUUGUCCGGAUUUAUUGGGCGUAAAGCGAGCGCAGGCGGUUUUUUAGGUCUGAUGUGAAAGCCUUCGGCUUAACCGGAGAAGUGCAUCGGAAACCGGGAGACUUGAGUGCAGAAGAGGACAGUGGAACUCCAUGUGUAGCGGUGAAAUGCGUAGAUAUAUGGAAGAACACCAGUGGCGAAGGCGGCUGUCUGGUCUGUAACUGACGCUGAGGCUCGAAAGCAUGGGUAGCGAACAGGAUUAGAUACCCUGGUAGUCCAUGCCGUAAACGAUGAGUGCUAAGUGUUGGAGGGUUUCCGCCCUUCAGUGCUGCAGCUAACGCAUUAAGCACUCCGCCUGGGGAGUACGACCGCAAGGUUGAAACUCAAAGGAAUUGACGGGGGCCCGCACAAGCGGUGGAGCAUGUGGUUUAAUUCGAUGCUACGCGAAGAACCUUACCAGGUCUUGACAUCUUCUGCCAACCUAAGAGAUUAGGCGUUCCCUUCGGGGACAGAAUGACAGGUGGUGCAUGGUUGUCGUCAGCUCGUGUCGUGAGAUGUUGGGUUAAGUCCCGCAACGAGCGCAACCCUUAUUGUUAGUUGCCAGCAUUCAGUUGGGCACUCUAGCAAGACUGCCGGUGACAAACCGGAGGAAGGUGGGGAUGACGUCAAAUCAUCAUGCCCCUUAUGACCUGGGCUACAUGCGUGCUACAAUGGACGGUACAACGAG
Molecule: ribosomal RNA, 1241 nt
Filed under: Lentilactobacillus buchneri
Lineage: Bacteria; Bacillati; Bacillota; Bacilli; Lactobacillales; Lactobacillaceae
Description: bacterial SSU rRNA
Rfam family: Bacterial small subunit ribosomal RNA
Source: RNAcentral